RNAcentral lists this ribosomal RNA (207 nucleotides) under uncultured Verrucomicrobiota bacterium. RNAcentral's name for it is "uncultured Verrucomicrobia bacterium partial 16S ribosomal RNA". It matches the Rfam family "Bacterial small subunit ribosomal RNA", at positions 568 to 774 of the family's 1533-position model. Lineage: Bacteria; Pseudomonadati; Verrucomicrobiota. The record is from RNAcentral.
CGCGUAGGCGGCCUGCCGUGUCGGGUGUGAAAUCCAUGGGCCCAACCCAUGAAGUGCGCCCGAAACUGGCCGGCUCGAGUGCGGGAGGGGAGAUCGGAAUGCAGGGUGUAGCGGUGAAAUGCGUUGAUAUCCUGCAGAACACCGGUGGCGAAGGCGGAUCUCUGGAACGCAACUGACGCUGAGGCGCGAAAGCAGGGGGAGCAAACA